GGGGAGCGGCACACGAAAAUCGGGGAACUCACGGCUGAUGUGGAGGUCUUCAGUAAAAAGAUUCAGCAGCACGAGGCCGAGCUGG
Long non-coding RNA from Zonotrichia leucophrys gambelii, 85 nucleotides. RefSeq lists it as uncharacterized. NCBI's taxonomy places the organism in Eukaryota, Metazoa, Chordata, Aves, Passeriformes, Passerellidae. The transcript is spliced from 4 exons. The record is from RefSeq and is a predicted model, not a curated record.